Long non-coding RNA from Condylura cristata (star-nosed mole), 1197 nucleotides. RefSeq lists it as uncharacterized. The transcript has 5 exons. The record is from RefSeq and is a predicted model, not a curated record. Lineage: Eukaryota; Metazoa; Chordata; Mammalia; Eulipotyphla; Talpidae.
CCCGCCUCGCCGUCGGCUGCCCGCUCAACCCCCGGCGGUGACCGGGCGGUCCUCAGAAACGAGUAGAACCGGAUGCCUGACCUGAAACCCAGCCUUGAGGUCAAUUCCUGACCUGCUGCAAACAACUGGGAAGUUCAGGCAAAUCUGACUGCAGACAAGGCCACUUCCAGAGGCUCAGGUGUGGAAACUGAAAACCAGAAAAAGGAAAUGCUGUGGCCAACUUCACAUGAUUCAAUUGGAGCCAAACCUGCAUUGUCUGCAAAUCAUGGUACCUCUGUCCUGGGAAUACUCGACCAUCAGAGUGAAGCCUAUCAGUUAAAGACCCACAGGGCAGUUUCACAGCCAAGUCUGCAAGGCUUGAAAAAACCCGGUUAGACUGGAAGUGCUGACACAAGCCCAGCAGAGAGAAUGGCCUCACUAUGUUGCUGCAACAAUCUGGGGAGAAAAAAUGAAUCAUUUUUUUUGUGUGUGCAUUAAUCUUCAAGUUGCGUCUACGUGACUUGAGAAACCAACUGAACCCAACACAACUUGGCCAUGCAAAUCGUGUGUGCAUUCCUAGUGAAUAGGGUCCUUGAUCACAUUCAUACUAAUUAUGCUGUUCUCAAAAAGAUCUGAGCUAAGUCCGAACAUGUUAAGAAUGUUCAGUGGGGAAAAAAAAAAAAGAAAAAAACAACGGUGGAAAAUUUUGCUUCUCUGUUAUAAAAACAGAAGAAGUAAAGGCUUACGGGAAUAGCCAGUUAAGACAUUUUCAGGCAACUGCUUCUACUGAGGUGAAGAACGCUAAUAUAUUAGUUGUUAUUAGAUGAGCAGCUGCUGGUUAGUUUUGGGCAAAGAACUUAAGUUACUUUAGGAAGAAUCAUUUUUGUAGUACCUGUGCUUCUGCAGGACUUGUUUUUUGCCCUCUUUAUUUAUCUUCUCUUUUUCUAUUUAUUUACUUUUACCAGGACCAAGUUAACAGGUAUUUGUGUUUUUUGCUUUACUUUCCAUAUCUGCACUUUCACACCCAACCAAUUAGAAGACUUGCAAGAGGACAAGAAAUAUGACUUGUGACUCUUUUAAGUGAGCUGCAAUGAAUAUUGCAAAUGCAAAAUGCACAUUAACAGACUACAGUGCUAUUUAUUAAUUAGUGAUUGGUAUUAUAUGAGAACUGGGAAGAAGAGAUACCUUGGGGAAAAUAAUAAUAAAAAAUGACAGCUC